This is a long non-coding RNA of Rhipicephalus sanguineus (brown dog tick), 783 nucleotides long. RefSeq lists it as uncharacterized. NCBI's taxonomy places the organism in Eukaryota, Metazoa, Arthropoda, Arachnida, Ixodida, Ixodidae. The transcript is spliced from 5 exons. The record is from RefSeq and is a predicted model, not a curated record.
CUCUCGUAGGCCCUGUAGUUUGUGCCUUUGUGCAGUGCGCUCGUGUCAUUGAACCCGUGUAGUGCGAAUCAAAAUGACCACAUCGAGUACGCCGACCUAUGCCUACGUCAAGUACCACGACGGUGCGAAGGCGAUAGUCCAUGUAUCGCUAAUAAAGAAGUACUCCCCGUCUUCGGUGGACGACUUGGCCAAAAAAAAGAUGGUGUAUUGGUGCAGCACAUCAAGCCAGGAGGCGAAGCACAGCGACGAGGAUUUUUACAUGGCUGACGUUGUGGAGCUUGGCCUGACAAAAGGAGACCUCAUUCGAAGGCUCGUGAGGAGAAAAAUCGCAAUUCCGGAUUUUAUUUUUGAUGGCGACACAUCUGAAGCACCUCGUUUGGUGACACAUGUGCCAUCGGCGAAAAAGACUGCGCAAUAUACGAAGGCUGCGCAUCAGCGCAAAAUGGCAGGGAUGCUUUCGGACCGGGCCACCAGCUCCGAUGACGAUGCCGAUGACGACGUUGUGCCGAAAAAAUUGCUCAUUGAAGAGCAAAAAAAAAUGCAACACUCUGCCGCAAACUGGCAAUUCUAAGAAGAGAGAAAGACGAGCUGCAGGCACGGCAUGAUCGCCUAGAGGAUAACCUUCUCAACAGACUCGAAUCCUUGCUUACAACAAAUUGCCGUCAGUGUUGCAAGGAGAACACUGUGCCUACAAGCUUUGUACGUAAAGAUAGUGCUCCAAGGGAGGACAGCUUCAGAAUGGGCCACAUCAGUCCACGCAUCACAUCAGUCGGACCAGAUCAA